Xiphophorus hellerii (green swordtail) is the source of this 3693-nucleotide RNA transcript. It is a transcript of the gene named interferon-induced protein 44-like, with no coding region annotated. The record is from RefSeq and is a predicted model, not a curated record. Lineage: Eukaryota; Metazoa; Chordata; Actinopteri; Cyprinodontiformes; Poeciliidae. The transcript has 9 exons.
AGGAAAGCAUUGUCUAUUUAUCUUAAGAAUACAAAAUUAAAAAAUAGAAUUUAAUAGAUGUGAAGUAAUGCUGCUACACACUCUUGUACAGUAGGUGGCGGUAUGCACCUUAAAGUUGCUUGUGAUCCGCCAUAAUAGAAAAGAAGAAGAAGAAGAAGAAGAAGAAAAAGAAGAUGGAAAAGAAAAGGCAUUUAAGGACAAAGAGUAGACAUCAUUUUCAUCAUCCCAUAGGAGGACAAGCUUCAAUACCACUUUUUGACAAUCCUUGGAUGCACGUUUCCUGGGGCAGAGAACAUGAGAUACAUCUGCAUCAUGUGGACAAUUUUCAACCAGUAAAUGGAGUCAGACACAUCAGAGUUCUGCUGUAUGGACCGGUCGGUGCCGGGAAGUCCAGCUUCAUCACCUCUGUCAGUAAUGCUUUGCGAAGGAGAGUGACCUGUGAAGCUCUGGCCAAUGCUGCUAACAGUUCCGGCCAAAGUUUUUCCAAGAAGUAUUUAACUCAUAGAAUCCGAAAAGGAGGCAAAGGAAACUAUCACUGCCUUGUGUUGAAUGACACCAUGGGCCUGGAGGAAGGACAUGGAAGAGGAAUCCACACUCACGACAUCAAGCUGGCUAUGAUGGGGCACGUAAAGGAGGGCUACAAGUUUAAUCCGCUGGCUCCACUGUCUAAUUGGGAUCCCGGCUACAACUCAUCCCCAUCUCUAAAUGACAGAGUCCAUGUUAUGGUUUGUGUUCAUAAUGCGAAUGCACCAGAAAUUAAGUCCUCCAUUUUACUGAAACUGAGGGACAUCGGAGACGCUGCUCAGAAAUUGGGUGUUCCUCAACUGGCUGUUCUCACAAACAUUGACGAGGCGUGUGAUGAUACCAAGAUUAAUUUAAGAAAUGUCUCCAGGAGCAAGAAUUUAAAGAAAAAAAUUUCUGAGUUACAUGCAAGCUUGGGGAUUCCAGAAAGCCACAUCCUUCCUGUGAAGAACUAUAGUCACGAAAUCCAAACAUGUUCAGAUGUUGAUACUUUGAUCCUGAGAGCGGUGAGACGGAUGAUUGAUUUGGGACAUGACUUCACGGACAAAGAGCUGAGAUGAGUUGGAGUCUGAGGAAGUAACAAGCGUGGACAACAAAGCCGCUUAUCUUCAAGUAACACAGGAAAAGACUACUGUUGUAUUGAAGUUGUGCUAAGAGGAGUUGGACUGUCCAUGAAGCUAUUCAAGUCUGAAAGAGCAUCUCAGUGCUGAACAUGAGCACCGACGUCCACAACACUGAUAUCAGUGUCCAUAUUUCUAAAGAAGUAUUUUUUUCAAAUAAGUUACAUGAAUGAUCAGUUGUUCCUGAUGCACUUAAAAGAUGAAUGGUACUUUAGCAAUAACCUAAGUAACAUUUUAGAACAAUAUAUAGCAUUGUUGUUGAGUCUAAAUAUCUAUUUAUUAAAUAAUUAAUAACAGAAAGAGUUUCUGAAUAGAAAAUGAUGCUUAUCAGUAUAUAGUUUUUCAUUAAAAUGCAAUUAGUUACAGACCUUAUAAUUAUCUCUAUUAAAAAUGAUGACAGCAUAUAAAAGCCACAGUAGAUGAGAAAAAAACAGACAUUUUGAGAUUAAUCUCAGAAUCUUUCUGGAAAAACAAGAAAAUUUCAGUUCGAAAUAUCCAAUAUUUUCCACAAUGAUGAAAUUUUUGAAAAAAAGGAAAGAAAUGUAUUUAAUUAUUUACACCUUUAUUUAACUAGGAAACGGAGUACAAUUUACCUUCAUUCAAAGUAGACAAAAGCUGAGAAUAUACUGAUGUUGAAACGCCUACAGCUACAUGCAUCGCAUCAAAACAGCAACAUAGCCACCAAAGCAAUAAUUGAAAACCAGAAGAUAUUAGACUACUUAUUAAUACAAUUCUAUUAUUCAACAGUCAAAACAUUUAUAAGUGGAUGUUUGUUACAUGUCUUAAAAUCCGUUGCAGUUCUGUCUAUUUUAACCCAUUUCCAUUUUUUAUACACAACACGUGUCUGAAGGCCCUUCACAAAAAAACAUCAACACAAUCCAACACACCCAUACAGAUCAGUGAGAAAAGCCUGUAUAGAUUAAAGACAUUGGGAAUUUAAAUUCAACUUUGUUUGCACAUUUAAACCAGAAAAAUUCAUAAAUGACUGAACAAAUUACAUGAACACAUUUUAAUGGAACAUUCAUGAUUUUUUGGACUUUAGAAGAAAGUCUUGGUACCUGGAGAGAAACAUGCUAACAUGCUAACUCUAGGAUUUGAACCCCAAACCUUCUUGUUCCGUACAUGUUUCCAUUUGUACAAACAGGAACUCAGACAUUAAUCCUGAACAAUAUUACUUUCUGAUUUAAUUGGUUCCGUUUGCUGAUUUUCUUUCACCUUCAAAAAGUACAACAACACCGACAACAACACAAAUUCAAAAGUAACCUAAGCAGAGGGUUAGUUCCACUUGGUUGAAAAUACGUUUGCAUUUGAUAGACUGCAUCUGUGUUUUUAGAACAGGUUAGUAACCCUGACACACUUUCAUGGAAGAGGACAUGAACUUCUAAGUCGACGUUCGGAUAGACUUCUGACCAGCUCCUCCCAGCGGUGGAGUAGUCUGGAUCUCGGGUGUGGUGCAUCAGAACCAGGAUGACUUUUUUAUGGGCUGUACAAAACCAGAAAAAAAUAUGGCUAGUUCAGUCUGUAUGUACACACCAUGAUGUUUCAGUCCAAAUAUUUAACACUACAAAUGUCUAACAGAUUGUUACCACAGAUACAAAAAUGUAAAAAUUUAACCUCAAACAUCUUUUUAUCAACAGAAAACUUGUUGGACUUUUUCAAAACUUGUUGAACAAGUCCAACACGUUUAAAAUUGGCACACACAAGUUAGGCACAUUUUAGGAAUACAAUUCACCUUCAUUCAAUACGUGCCUAAUUAUGGUUUAGGCACAUUUGGCCUAAACCAUGUUUGGUUAUAUUGCAGCAGUUACUGGGAGUGGACUAUUUAUAUUUCCCAGGAUGCUUAGGGGCAUGUGUUUGUGUCCUGGGUUGCAACGUGGAUGAGAUGGAAGUGUGAUACAUUGAUUUGUCUCUUAUUGUUUAAUAAAAUCCAUUAUCAGAUCAAUUAUUUUGUUCAUGUAAAUUGAACCAAGAAUUAAAAAUCCAAGAACUUAAAAUGAUUCAAAUAAUUUAAGUGAAAAUAAUCCAAACGUGUAACUAGGUGAAGGCAGUUUUCUUGCAUUUAUGAUGUGGAAUAACUGUUUUAAAUUAUCUAUCAACUUGAACUUUAAUUUCUGACUUAAAUCAAAAACAGUUUUCCAGUUGAAUUUAUUUAAAUUUUCAACACAGCAAGUGAACUUUCAUUUUCAAGUUAUGCCACCUUCAAAUGUUUUACAGUGAUGUAAAACAACAGAUUUCCUUUGACUUUCCUUUACUUAGCUGAAAUGUUCACAAAAACAUUUCAGCUAUGUUUGCUAAAUUGUGCUUUAACCAUGGUGAGUAUUUUAUAGAUACAAUAAAUUAGUGUCUGCUGUUGUGGUUACAGCUUCUGAAGAGGACAGUGAUAAUUCUGACAGUGCAAAUUGUCAUAGCUUUGAUACCAACUGUAGGAAAUUGGAGAACUGUAGUACUUCUGAUUUCAGUGUCUCUUUUGAGAAAAUCUGUAGAGUAAUUUUCUAUGGUUUGAUCUGUAAUCUUAUAGACAUUCAUUGCUAAUAAAAGUGAUUUGAUGUCA